This 1376-nucleotide long non-coding RNA is filed under the name Coturnix japonica (Japanese quail). Its description in RNAcentral is "lncRNA (ENSCJPG00005018580.1)". Lineage: Eukaryota; Metazoa; Chordata; Aves; Galliformes; Phasianidae. The record is from RNAcentral.
GGACAUGGCUCUUGCUUCCUUUCUGAGCAGGCCAAGGACCUACAGUUCAUAACUGCCCCAUAUUUUUGGUAAACUGAGGGAAAAGCCUGUAUCCUGACAAAUCUGUCUGUCACUUACAGGUUUACAUGAGUUCAAGGGCGGAAGUUCAUCAGAGAGAAAUCCACCAAGAUUAAGGACAUAGUGACUGCAGUAUUUGCAAGAAGUUGCUGAGCAGUAAUUGUUGGAAGUGGACACCAGUGGAAAGUACCAAAUAUGUCUGCUGAAGUUUAUUCCUCCUUGAGUGCCUAUUGUGGCUGCUGAUGGAGACAAGAUACUGAACUGUGAACUUUCAGCCUGCCUUGAUAUUUUCUUCGAGGAGAUUAUUCAUGGAGCAAGGAUCUAAAAUAAAAAUUGAGGAGGAUGGAGCAAAGCUGGGCUUUGGAUGUUCCUCAGAGCCAGGCAAAAUCAAGGGAGAUCAGCCAUGAAUUGUUUGACCUCAGCUUGCUUUGGAUCUGGCCUGUCAUGGGAAUUAUAGCUAUGCCAUUCUUCAAAUCUCAAGCAGUUUUACAAAGGGGAAAAAAAAGAAAAGAAAAAAAAAAAAAGGUUAGAAUUUUUAUUACAAUCGGAAAAUGCAAUUUUUCAUUCCCUUCUUGUUUCAGAAGGUCUGAAGGGAUUUUACUCAACUUCCUCUUCUACCUUCAGGCAGAGACCAAAUCUGAGAAAUUGCAACCCAAUUUUGGAAAGUUCUCAGCAUGCAAAUAGGGGGUCAUGAUGGGAAGCUGCUGCUGAACUCACUUUGUUGUCAUGAGUGCUUCUGGGAAGCUGCUGCCGACCAGGUGGUGCCCUCAACCCUGCUUCAUUCCAAUUUGUAUCUGCCAGUCAGAAGUAUCUGAUCAAAACCAUGGGGGGGUUUUACCUCUUGGGACCAGCUCUGAUAGAGUGAGGUAGGCAAGAUCCAUUUGUGUACAUAGGAAUUGUCCAGUAACUGCAAAGUUCAGUAUAAAAAUCUGUAUUGCCCCAAACACAGAUUUUGCACUUACUCUAAAAACUUUGUUGCUGAAUGUUUGAGCUCCAGAGAAAACUGCAUGGGAGACUCAGGAAGGAGGAGAGGAAUGGCAUCUGAAUUCAGGAGUUCUGUCUUUGGCAAGAUCCUGUAACACAGGAUGGGCUGUAGCCUGCACCUGUGGUGAUAUAAGGCUUGAUGGAGUUUGUGCUGAUAUGUUUUUCCAGUAUUUAGGGUUUAGUGGAGUGUGGUGUGCCCUUACCAAGAGCAAGUGUUACCCUUGUAAGCAUCUGAAUGCUCAAGCCUGAUUUAGACACCUAUGUUAGGCGUUUUGGCAAAAUACACCAGCGUUAUGGAAAAUAAAGUCUAUAGAAUUGGAAAAAUUUGCUGGAAA